Molecule: long non-coding RNA, 1351 nt
Filed under: Homo sapiens (human)
Lineage: Eukaryota; Metazoa; Chordata; Mammalia; Primates; Hominidae
Description: non-protein coding lnc-TAAR9-2:1
Source: RNAcentral
AUGGGAAAGGAAAAGACUCACAUCAAUAUUGUCAUCAUUGGGCUGGUAGAUUUGGGCAAGUCCACCCCUACUGAUCUAAACAUGUGGUGGGACUGACAAGAGACCCUCUGCAAAAUGUGAUAAGAAGUCUGCUGAGAUGGGAAAGGGCUCCUUCAAGUAUGCCUGGGCCUUGUAUAAGCAGAAAGCUGAGUGUGAACGUGGUGUCACAAUUGAUACUUCUCUGUGGAAAUUUGAGACCAGCAAGUGCUAUGUGACCAUCACAAGACUUUAUCAAAAACAUUAUUACAGGCACAUCCCAGGUAGAAUGCGCUGCCUUGAUUGUCGCUGUUGACAUUGGUGAAUUUGAAGUUGGUAUCUCUGAGAAUGGGCAGACCCCUGAGCACACCCUUCUGGCUUGCAUGCCAGAUGUGUAACAAGUAAUUGUUGUUGUUUACAAAAUGGAUUUCACUGAGCCACCCUAUAGCAGAAGAGACAUGAAGAAAUUGCUAAGGAAGUCAGCACUUACAUUAAGAAAAUGGGCCACAGCCCUUACACUGAGGCAUUUGUGCCAAUUUCUGGUUGGGAUGGUAGCAACAUGCUGGAGCCAUGUGAUCACAGGCCUUGGUUUAAGGGAUAGAAAGUUUAGGGUAAAGAUGGCAAUGCCUAUGGAACCAUGCUGCUUGAAGCUCUGGACUCCUUCCUACCACCAACUCAUCCAAUUGACAAGCCCUUGCGUCUGCCCCUCCAGGAUGUCUACAAAAUUUGGGAUAUUGGCACUAUCCCUGUGGGCCAAGUGGACACUGGUGUUCUCAAACCAGUAGCGUAAACACUCUGCUCCAGUCAACAUCACAACUGAAGUAAUGUCCGUUAAAAUGCACCAUGAAGCUUUGAGUGGGCUCCUCCUGGAGACAAUGUGGGCUUUAAUGUCAAGAAUGUGUCUGGCAAAGCUGUUCGUCGUGGCAACAUCACUGAUGAAAGCAAAACCACCCACCUGUGGAAGCAGCAGGCUUCACUGCUCCGGUGAUUAUCCUGCAUCCUCCAGGGUGAAUCACGCUGGCUGUGUAUGCCCCUGUACUGGAUUGUCACACGGCGCACAUUGCUUGCAAGUUUGCUGAGCUGAAGGAAAAGGUUGACUGAUGUUCUUGUAAGAAACUGGAAGAUGGUUCUUAAAUUCUCGAAAUUGGGUGAAAACUAUCGUUGAUAUGGUUCCUAUCAAGCCUAGGUGUGUUGAGAGCUUCUCUGACUAUGCUCCUCCAGGUCAUUUUGCUGUUCAUGAUAUGAGAUAGACAGCUGCUGAAGUGUCAUUAGAGCAGUGGCUGCUGGAGCUGGCAAAGUCACUGAGUCUGCCUGGGAAGUUCAGAAGGCUAAAUGA